AAUGAACGCUGGCGGCAUGCCUUACACAUGCAAGUCGAACGGCAGCAUGACCUAGCUUGCUAGGUUGAUGGCGAGUGGCGACCGGGUGAGUAAUGCAUCGGAACGUGCCUUUUAGUGGGGGAUAACGUAGCGAAAGUUACGCUAAUACCGCAUAUUCUCUGAGGAGGAAAGCAGGGGACCUUCGGGCCUUGCGCUAGAAGAGCGGCCGAUGUCGGAUUAGCUAGUUGGUGAGGUAAAGGCUCACCAAGGCAACGAUCCGUAGCGGGUCUGAGAGGAUGAUCCGCCACACUGGGACUGAGACAAGGCCCAGACUCUUACGGGAGGCAGCAGUGGGGAAUUUUGGACAAUGGGCGCAAGCCUGAUCCAGCCAUGCCGCGUGAGUGAAGAAGGCCUUCGGGUUGUAAAGCUCUUUCGGCUGGGAAGAAAUCGCACCCUCUAAUACAGGGUGUGGAUGACGGUACCAGCAGAAGAAGCACCGGCUAACUACGUG
RNAcentral lists this ribosomal RNA (490 nucleotides) under uncultured bacterium. RNAcentral describes it as "partial 16S ribosomal RNA". It matches the Rfam family "Bacterial small subunit ribosomal RNA", at positions 29 to 507 of the family's 1533-position model. The record is from RNAcentral.